GUGCCAGCAGCCGCGGUAAUUCCAGCUCCAAUAGCGUAUAUUAAAGUUGUUGUGGUUAAAAAGCUCGUAGUUGAACCUUGGGCCUGGCUGGCCGGUCCGCCUCACCGCGUGCACUGGUCCGGCCGGGCCUUUCCCUCUGUGGAACCCCAUACCCUUCACUGGGCGUGGCGGGGAAACAGGACAUUUACUUUGAAAAAAUUAGAGUGCUCCAGGCAGGCCUAUGCUCGAAUACAUUAGCAUGGAAUAAUAAAAUAGGACGCGCGGUUCUAUUUUGUUGGUUUAUAGGACCGCCGUAAUGAUUAAUAGGGACAGUCGGGGGCAUCAGUAUUCAACUGUCAGAGGUGAAAUUCUUGGAUCAGUUGAAGACUAACUACUGCGAAAGCAUUUGCCAAGGAUGUUUUCAUUAAUCAGGAACGAAAGUUAGGGGGAUCGAAGACGAUCAGAUACCGUCGUAGGUCUUUACCCAUAAACUAUGGCCGACUAGGGGAUCGGGACGGUGUUAUUCAUGAACCCCGUUCGGCACCCUUACGAGAAAUCAAAAGUGUUUGGCCUCCCAGGGGGAGUAUGGGUCGCAAGGGUGAAACUUAAAGAAAAUGACGGAAAGGGCCCACCAGGGGUGGGGGGCGUGCGCGUGAAUUUGGCUCGAGAAGGAGUAAACUCACCCGGGCCACAACACGAGACGGAUUGACGACAUUGGAGAGCGCGUUUCUUGGUUUUUGUAGAUAUGUGGAGGACGAGGCCGUUCAUAACUUGGUGGAGAAACACGAGGAGACGUAAUUGCAGUCACGGCACGUGCACGCUAAAGCCGGCGAAAGUAGGCCGGAUUUGACAAGGAAGACACGCGGAGAUGCCUUGAAGGAGGGAUUGAGAAUUUAG
Molecule: ribosomal RNA, 876 nt
Filed under: uncultured fungus
Lineage: Eukaryota; Fungi
Description: bacterial SSU rRNA
Rfam family: Eukaryotic small subunit ribosomal RNA
Source: RNAcentral